Molecule: ribosomal RNA, 505 nt
Filed under: uncultured bacterium
Lineage: Bacteria
Description: partial 16S ribosomal RNA
Rfam family: Bacterial small subunit ribosomal RNA
Source: RNAcentral
GACGAACGCUGGCGGCGUGCCUAAUACAUGCGAGUCGAACGCACAGUUUAUACCGUAGCUUGCUACACCAUAGACUGUGAGUUGCGAACGGGUGAGUAACGCGUAGGUAACCUGCCUGGUAGCGGGGGAUAACUAUUGGAAACGAUAGCUAAUACCGCAUAAUAUUAAUUAUUGCAUGAUAAUUAAUUGAAAGGUGCAAUUGCACCACUACCAGAUGGACCUGCGUUGUAUUAGCUAGUAGGUGAGGUAACGGCUCACCUAGGCGACGAUACAUAGCCGACCUGAGAGGGUGAUCGGCCACACUGGGACUGAGACACGGCCCAGACUCCUACGGGAGGCAGCAGUAGGGAAUCUUCGGCAAUGGACGAAAGUCUGACCGAGCAACGCCGCGUGAGGGAAGAAGGUUUUCGGAUCGUAAAGCUCUGUUGUAAGAGAAGAACGGGUGUGAGAGUGGAAAGUUCACACUGUGACGGUAUCUUACCAGAAAGGGACGGCUAACUACGUG